CUUAAAAUGUAUGGCUUGGAGGAAAGACGAGAUGGGGGGAUAGGAUCAUGAGCGUAGGAACCCAAAAAAAUCUGGGGGAGGAUAGCAUUUUUACUCGCCGGGUAUAUUCUUAUUCUGUAAACUAGGAGUUGUUUAUCCCAUUGUACAGCGCUACAGAAUUUGCAGUCGCUAUAUAAAUGAUUAAAUAAUAACUUUAAAGGAUCACUACAGGGAAGGGAUUUUACUUACCUGGAUACAGCGCCGGGAUCCUCCUGAUGCCGCGCCCCCUAUUUCGUCAAAAUGACUUAAUAGGAGGGUGCGAGCAGGGAGCAAUAAAACGCUUCUAUUCAGAAGCGUCAUUGCUCUCUGGUGCGCAUGCGCAGCUUUGCCGCACAUGCACAGAUACUUCAUAGGGUGGCAUUCAUGUCUCGACUAGGAAGCACCUCUAGUGGCCAUCUGAGUGUCCACUAGAGGUAUUCCUCAUCAGUAAUGUAAAUACUGCCUUUUUACAAAAUGGCUGUGCUUACAUUAAAAAGCCUGCAAAGACAUGCUAUAGACACCAGAACUACUACGUUUAGCUGUUGUGGUUCUGGUGACUAUAGCGUCCCUUGAACAUAGAGAGGAAAAAAGAAUCAUCACAAAUGUAAGAAAUAGGAUGAUGAUGGGCUCUAGCUGCAGUCUGGCUCCACUGGUCUGGUGUAGAACAGGCUCUCUGGAGGCUGUUUGUAACUGAGGUCACGAAAAUCAAUGUUCUGCGAGAACGGGAAGCAGCUCCAUUUUUUGGGGGCCAUUUACACAGCUCAAGGUCUGGGUCCAGGGUCCACCUUCAUGUUCCACCAAUGAGUUUGUUCACAGGGGGUGGAGUGUGUAGGGGAUGUCCUGAUAUGUGUGUAAGGAAUGCACUGUGUGAAUCUGUGUUUGUAUGUGUAAGGGCUGCAAGGUGUGUUUCUGUGUAUGUACGGGAUGCAGUGUGUGCGUGUGUAAGGGGUGCAUUGAGUGUGUGUACGGGGUGCAUUUAGUGUGUGUAAGGAAUGCAUUGUGUGUUUCUGUGUGUGUAAG
Molecule: non-coding RNA, 1038 nt
Organism: Pelobates cultripes (western spadefoot toad)
Lineage: Eukaryota; Metazoa; Chordata; Amphibia; Anura; Pelobatidae
Source: the annotation of a GenBank genome assembly